This is a long non-coding RNA of Nicotiana attenuata, 489 nucleotides long. RefSeq lists it as uncharacterized. The record is from RefSeq and is a predicted model, not a curated record. The transcript is spliced from 2 exons. Lineage: Eukaryota; Viridiplantae; Streptophyta; Magnoliopsida; Solanales; Solanaceae.
UCAUUCUCCACUUCAAAAAGAAGCCCAUAAAAAAGAGAAGCAGACUUUACCCUCUUUUAAGCUUCUCAAAACUCUCUCUACCCUCUCUGUAUAUAUGAGUUUUUGUUUUGUUUCAUCAGAAUUAUAGGGGAAAUCCAAUCUAAAUAGUUUUGCUCGACAAGGAGGAGAGAGCAAAAAUUGCAGUAAUAGAAGAAGAUGGAUGUAAUUGUCAUUUCAUUGCCUUUGGUCAUAUUGAUAUUGAUCGUAGCCGUUGUUUGUUAUCUAUGUGGAAGAUCUUGUUAAUCAAUGAUACAUAGACUACUAUGAACCCUACGAAGAAGAAGAAGUUCAAAGAGAAGGACAAAUGUAAUCUUAUUUACUAAUGCGUAUUGAAAUAGAAAAGUAUGUUUAAGCAGAUUCAGAUUCAGGAGUCCAGAAAUUUAUUAUAUGUAAGUGAAUUUCUCAACUAAUAAUAUAUGAUAUGGAUCAAAGUUAUUGAGUUCUGUCGAA